RNAcentral lists this non-coding RNA (23 nucleotides) under Cricetulus griseus (Chinese hamster). Lineage: Eukaryota; Metazoa; Chordata; Mammalia; Rodentia; Cricetidae. The record is from RNAcentral.
UGUAGAUUCUCUGGUCAUUGAAC